RNAcentral lists this long non-coding RNA (4613 nucleotides) under Anas zonorhyncha (Eastern spot-billed duck). RNAcentral describes it as "lncRNA (ENSAZOG00000005700.1)". The record is from RNAcentral. Lineage: Eukaryota; Metazoa; Chordata; Aves; Anseriformes; Anatidae.
AUGGGAGAGCCCUGAUUUUCACGCUGCAAAGUGAAAGCACCUGCAGCCUGUGGAAACUCAUUCAUUCAAUGGCAGGAAGAGGGGGGGCUGAGCUAAUGAGCAUCACUCGUCCUUCACCGCCUCCUGCUCACUCCCAGAGCCAAAGCGGGGCUGACAUCAGGUGGAAACACCCUGCGCUGGGUCCUAUCUAGUGCCUGUGCCCGACCUUGAAUCUUUAACUUGGACGGGAAAGAAAGCGCUUUGUGCAAGAGCCAUGACUCCAUGCAAUGCACAUCAUGAGCUCUGCAGCCACCUUGGAGCGUCCAAAGGAUGGCACCAGACUCUGUACAUCAGACUUUGCACAUCAGACACUGCAGUGGAAGGUCACAAACCAUGUGGCAGAGGAGUGGGGUCCCACCUGGAAAUGGUCGUGUAAUUUGGUGCCCUGACUCUGCCCCAUAUCCUCAGAUAAACAUGGGAGAAGUGCAAGUGAAGGAGGUGUGGGCAGCAGAGCAGAGAAGCAGCAGAAGUCAGGAGAGCAUCAUCCCGAAGAUGAGAGCUGACAGCCUCAGUAAGACAACCCAGCCGCGAGCAGCCUCAUUUUCCAUCUCACAGAGGGGAAGCCAAAGCAAAGUGAAAUGGCUGGUGCCAACCAAAAAUAGGACCUGGAGCACCCGACAGCGACGCCUCUGCUUCAACUGUUCGCUCGCUCCGCUUCCCUGUUGCCUAGGGAGACAGCGUGUCACCAGGAGAAAGGAGCUGCAAGAGAAGGUGCCUCUUGAGUCCUGCUCUGGACUCCAACAGGAGAAGGAGCUUCACCUGGCUUCAACCCUGGCUCACCAGCUCUGCCAGCUCACAUCCUCUGGUCUGAGGGUUUCCCCUUAUCAUGAUGCUAGUGGUGAUGGUGACCACCCUUUGCUAGCUCCAGAGAGACCAACGAGAAGUGCUGCCCACAGCCCGGAAUUUUGUAAGGAGGGGGAGUGUAAAUUUAAAGCAGUUUUGAAAAAAAAAAAAAAACAAAAAAACAAAAAAACAAAAACAAAAAAAAAAAAAAAAAAAAAAAAACCUCUUUCAUGUUUACAGAUGAAUUUCAGAUUCCGUAUUGCUCAGAAAUUAAACCUUGUCAUUUGUGAUCAACUGCACAAUUUUCUGCUCUAUCUUCUAUAAUAUGUUCUUGUUGCUAAAACCUCCAUGUAAACAUUUAAUUUAGAGUUCUAUGUCUACAUUAUGACAAAGAAGGUCAGCAAGUUUGGGGUUACAUUUUGCCUGCCAGUAGCCUGUGGCUUGAUGCCAUUUCCUGCCCUCUGGUUCUCACUGCUGCAGGACCAGGCCCAGCUCUGACACGCGAUGUUGAGAGCUGGCACGUUGCUCAUCGCUUCUGUGUUUCUGAAGCAGAAGUCUUGAAUCUUAAAAGCACUUUUUUCUUAUAGAAUGGCCUGGGUUGAAAACAACCUUAAAGAUCAUCUAGUUUCAACCCCCCUGCUCUGGGCAGGGUUGCCAACCACUAGAGCAGGCUGCCCAGGGCCUGCUUUCUUCUUGAAACCGCUGUCCUCCCAAGGGAUCUUCAUUCAGAUAGCCAUAUAUUAUAAUGCCUACUAUACUUUCUUUGCUCAAAUAGCCAUAUACCAUGAUGACUACCAUAUUUACAUCCCAGUAGCGACCUGGGGCAUCCCACCACCAGAGGCUGUGGCACCAGGCAUGGCGCACUCCUCAAAGCAGCAGGCCUGCACCACGGGGUCAGGCUUCCCUCACACCCAUGGGCUCUGCAACACUGGUGCAAGACUGAGGAGAAUUGAGCUUAUUGGCUUUAAUGAGAUGAAACUAGAAAAAUUUCCGAGCUCUUAAGUCAUUUCCUUGAGUAAUUUUGGCAAGCCUGCCUCUCUGACUAAACUUUCUCAGGGGAAUUUUCAGAGGCAGAGGGAAAGAUCAGCCGGGACCAUCCGCUGCGGUGUGGCCGCAGGACCCAUUCUUGAAUUCUUGAAAAGGCUUGAAUUUGUGCCUUUUCCAUCUAGUGCUCCCCCACUCAGCUUCCACUGCCCCUGCUUUCCACAAAUAAAGCUUCAGGAUGAAAAUAACUGUUGAGGUCCCAUCGUUGGGCAGAGUGGCACUGCUAUUUCCUGAUAACCAUUUGUUUAUUCACAGGGGCUGUGUGCAGACAAACAACCCCGUGCUGAUAAUCAUAGACAAGAAGCACACAGGACACUCAAGCUUCAGCACAUGAAUAUAUAAGGACUUGUUAAUUUUACACAGGUGAGCAGGGCCACAGCUUUCAAUUAAACUAUCACACGUAGAAAAGUGGUAUCCAAUCUCUGCCAUGCCUGGGCUGUCACAUUUGCCUGAUGAACCUUUUGCCAUUUGCUACCCUCCUAUAUCAUACCACUUCAAGUAGAUCUUGUUUUGAGAAGUGGCUUCUCACAAAUAGUCAAAACUCUCUCUACUUGACAGAUCCAUUAUUUUGAUUUGGUGACUAUUUGCAUUAGCUGCUGGGAUCACUGAAAAGCUUCACAACCUUUUUCUUCUAAAUUAUCCUGGCAAGCUGAAGCAUUACACAGUCAAAGUAAUGUUAAAAUGGAGGGAAUACUCUCACAUGCAUCUAGGGAAACAAAAGGAACAAAACCAUAUUGUGUUUUGCCAUUAUCUGUGUUGCUAUGUUUGAAUAAGAACAGAAGAUAAGCCACAGCUUUCAGGCAUCUUUCCAAAUUAUUACCCAGCAGUAAGGGACAAAACACCUCUCCAUGAGAUGAUGAAACAAGUCAUCUGUUUCCAGGAGGUUAAGCUUCCUAAAUCCCCAGUCCUGCAGUCAUCCCCCAAAGACAACUACCUCUUAAAGUCUACGGAGGGCAUCUAGAGGCCACGUGAAGUGGUGGCAUCAGGACCUCAGAAGUCAGAAAAAUUUUCAGAUUUUAGCCACUUCAGUCUUUUUCCUACCCCAGAAAUCCCCAUUAGAUGCAUGCGUGUUCCCUGCCAAUGUACUCUGAGAACUGAAUGGUGGCAGAAACAGCAACAUUCAAAAAUAUUUUGCAACUUCACUGGUGUCUACUUCCAGUUAUGUGACUUCCAUCAUCUCAGAAGUGCAGCCGCCACAAGAACGUAAGUUCAUUCAAGCUGACACCACAAAUAUUCUGCUGCAUUCAGUGGCAGAGCACAAAAUUCCAGCAGUGGUGGGAGAAGCAAGAUGAAAGCAGUGAUUUAAAGAAAAUCUAUUUUUUUCUUUGAUUAGAGAGCUGCUGAAAGAGUUCUUAUCUCAGGGAUCAGUGACUGCUGUAGGCCUUACCCAGUCUAGGCCAAGACUACAGCCCAGAAAAGUCUUGUAAACAGCUCUCCAACUGUUAAGAUCUUGCAGAGUUAUAACAGUUCAGUCAAGUGGCGCCGCGAUUUUCAGGCAUUUGUUACCCAACUGAGAGCCACUGCAAAGCUUCUAAUAUCCAGAUGAUUCUGUUGUUCCUUAGGUGAAAGAAACCUCUUAUCUGUCUUCAGGCAUCUAUAUCUGAGCCAGCUGUCUAGACUUCCUAUGUAAACAGUGCAGAGAAACAGGCACUGGGGUGCAAUUCCCCUCAACAUCUUGCAGACACCUAAAGUAGCACAGAUUAAUUGCUCGCUAACAAUGACAGUUUACAUCCAUGAAUUACAGGGGUACUCGAGAAUUAGGGCAAAGGAGAUGUUUAAAGUCAAAUGAUAUGAGUUCCACUCAUCUCCCUUCCAGAAAUGCUCAGCACAACUGAUGACGGUUAUUUGGGAGCAUGUCAAUUAGACACGCAUGUUAGAUGUGUUCUGGUCUGAAGGCCUGACCUUGUUCUGGUUCACUGAAAGAAGUCAGACCAUCGGCCAGCAUUCAACAACAGGGCAAGAUGUGGGUCCUGGACCCUUCAGGGGUGCAAGGCUGGCUUGUGUCGUGCAAGCAAAGUGCUCUGCAAGAAAGCUUUCUGCUGGGAUGACUGCCGUGCAUUCCUACCCACUUGUUAACAUAAAAGAAAGCGUGGGUGGAAAUAUACUGCAGGAUCAUGGCAGUUCUCAUUAAUUAUGAAGAUCAAGCGGAGCUCUUACUGCUUUUUUAGUAUAUUUCCUAUGCUGAAAUUAGUGCAUUAACUGUUACUUAAACUUCAGCCAUCAGUAUAAUUUAGUCAUUAGCACAGUCUGGUUCUACAUUUUUAAAGUAAACCUCCUUGCUGCAGUUGCAGUGAUUCUGAGGAAUGCGGACAUGCUGUAUAACUGAAGCAGUGUAAUUUUUGUUACAAAAACUGUUUCCCAUCCACAAGCCCAAAGGCAAGUAGGUUUCAGAGAAAUUCAACAUCCAUUAAGUGGAAGACUUCUGAAAUUCUGUCCUCUGGUACUACCUUUGUCCAAAGGAUCUACACAAGAUUGUGCUGGCAGUGGAGAACCUGGAAUAGCUUUUUUUUUUUAAAAAAAAAAGUCAGUAUAUUAUUGUCAGUCUUUUGUCAGAAGAUCACAGUGUACAAUGAUGAGGACUAUUAGCAGCUUCUCUUUACAGAGGAAGAAACUGAGUCAUGGAGAGAAAAAAUACUGUAUCUGUGAUCACCCAGCAGAAACAGAAAAAUGCUGGUUGACAUCCACACUUCAGUGCCAAGCAUCUGCAAGUAAGCUUGACCAAAAGAAAGCAACAUAGAAGGAUCAGA